UAUGUUUAUAAUGAACCAAAUUUUGACCUCGCUAUGUUGAGAAUAGCAAAGGUUUUAGAAUUUUCAGAAUUUAUAAGACCUAUUAAAUUAUCGAAUGUAAAAGGACAAGUUGUGAAUGCCAAACUUUUAACGGCAUACUGGCCUAGAUUAUUAAUAAAUGGCAAGGUACUGCCAGAAAAUGCGAAUGAACGGCUGAAACCGAACAGCUUGAGAGUUUCAAAACAAAGUUUGAUACCGUGGAACAAAUGCUACAAACUAAGUCAGAUACAAAACUUUAGUCUAGACGCCUCCAGUCUUUGUCUAGAACCUAUUAUUUCUCACCACAGCCCAUGCACGCCUGACGCUGGAGCUCCGAUAGCAGCCGAUGACUAUCUCUGGGGCAUCACGUCC
RNAcentral lists this unclassified non-coding RNA (390 nucleotides) under Melitaea cinxia (Glanville fritillary). RNAcentral describes it as "misc RNA ENSMCXG00005009433.1". Lineage: Eukaryota; Metazoa; Arthropoda; Insecta; Lepidoptera; Nymphalidae. The record is from RNAcentral.